GUUGUAUGGUUAAGUGACUAAGCGUACACGGUGGAUGCCUUGGCAGUCAGAGGCGAUGAAAGACGUAGUAACUUGCGAUAAGCCCAGAUUAGGUAGUAACAACCAUUUGAGUCUGGGAUUUCUGAAUGGGGAAACCCACGUGCAUAAGCACGUAUCGUUAUGUGAAUACAUAGCAUAACGAGGCGAACCGGGGGAACUGAAACAUCUAAGUACCCCGAGGAAAAGAAAUCAACCGAGAUUCCGAAAGUAGCGGCGAGCGAAAUUGGACUAGCCCUUAAGCUUUACACGCGUUAGACGAACGGUCUGGAAAGUCCGACGAUACAGGGUGAUAGUCCCGUAGUUGACGACGUGUGUUCAGUGAAAUCGAGUAGGGCGGGACACGUGAUAUCCUGUCUGAAUAUGGGGGGACCAUCCUCCAAGGCUAAAUACUACUGACUGACCGAUAGUGAACCAGUACCGUGAGGGAAAGGCGAAAAGAACCCCUGUGAGGGGAGUGAAAUAGAACCUGAAACCGUGUACGU
This 521-nucleotide ribosomal RNA is filed under the name Vibrio parahaemolyticus. RNAcentral describes it as "partial 23S ribosomal RNA". It matches the Rfam family "Bacterial large subunit ribosomal RNA", at positions 1 to 565 of the family's 2925-position model. Lineage: Bacteria; Pseudomonadati; Pseudomonadota; Gammaproteobacteria; Vibrionales; Vibrionaceae. The record is from RNAcentral.